CUCUUCCCAUUCCGAACAGAGAAGUCAAGCCCGCCAGAGCCGAUGGUAUUGCCGUAACAGGUGGGAGAGUAGGUCGGUGCCUUUU
RNAcentral lists this ribosomal RNA (85 nucleotides) under Sphingobacterium sp. JUb78. The record is from RNAcentral. Lineage: Bacteria; Pseudomonadati; Bacteroidota; Sphingobacteriia; Sphingobacteriales; Sphingobacteriaceae.